UAUCUAUUUUUUUAACGUCAUUAAGGCCCGGUCUUUUCACCUCCGAAUAAAUAUGCUCUUAUCUGGCAGUUAGCUAUCUGGAGGAUAAAUAUUUAUUCGCCAGAUAAAAUGUACCCGUCUUUUCACGUCAAUUUAUGUUCCAGUUAGUUAUCCGGUAGAUAAGCUUAAAAAAAGAAAACAUUGAUUAUGCUGAAAUAGUUUACUGGAGAGCUUGAACAAGAGGUAAAUCCAUUUUAAAUUAGAGGAAAACUGUUGAUUUGUAUGUAAAAUAGAAGACAAAGACAAGUUUAAAUAAAGACAAGCUAGCUAAUGAAACAGAUGCAGUGAUAUGACAAACACCUAGAAGAUGGAAUCCUGUGUUCUCAUAGAAAAAGCUAGUUCCAGAAAUAAGCUACCAAUAAUAAACUAGAGAAUGUAUUACAAGAAAGAACAACGCUAAUACUCAACAUAGCUCAAUUGCUUCAGAUAGAAAAAGAGGAGGAAAGGGUAGAACACAAGCGUGCCAGAGAAAAUGAAAGGGCAGAAGAGACAAAAAUUCAUUGAUUUAUUAAAUUUAAUAAUUAAAUUAUACAAAGGACAAUUAAAUAAAGAAUAAAAAAAUUA
Diabrotica virgifera virgifera (western corn rootworm) is the source of this 603-nucleotide long non-coding RNA. RefSeq lists it as uncharacterized. NCBI's taxonomy places the organism in Eukaryota, Metazoa, Arthropoda, Insecta, Coleoptera, Chrysomelidae. The record is from RefSeq and is a predicted model, not a curated record. The transcript has 3 exons.